Molecule: ribosomal RNA, 496 nt
Filed under: uncultured bacterium
Lineage: Bacteria
Description: partial 16S ribosomal RNA
Rfam family: Bacterial small subunit ribosomal RNA
Source: RNAcentral
GAUGAACGCUGGCGGCGUGCCUAAUACAUGCAAGUAGAACGCUGAAGGAGGGGCUUGCUCUUCUGGAUGAGUUGCGAACGGGUGAGUAACGCGUGGGUAACCUGCCUGGUAGCGGGGGAUAACUAUUGGAAACGAUAGCUAAUACCGCAUGACAACAGUUAUUGCAUGAUAACUGUUUAAAAGGGGCAACUGCUCCACUACCAGAUGGACCUGCGUUGUAUUAGCUAGUUGGUGAGGUAACGGCUCACCAAGGCGACGAUACAUAGCCGACCUGAGAGGGUGAUCGGCCACACUGGGACUGAGACACGGCCCAGACGCCUACGGGAGGCAGCAGUAGGGAAUCUUCGGCAAUGGACGGAAGUCUGACCGAGCAACGCCGCGUGAGUGAAGAAGGUUUUCGGAUCGUAAAGCUCUGUUGUAAGAGAAGAACGAGUGUGAGAGUGGAAAGGUCACACUGUGACGGUAGCUUACCAGAAAGGGACGGCUAACUACGUGC